Molecule: long non-coding RNA, 287 nt
Organism: Triticum dicoccoides
Lineage: Eukaryota; Viridiplantae; Streptophyta; Magnoliopsida; Poales; Poaceae
Exons: 3
Source: RefSeq, a predicted model, not a curated record
AGAAGGAGAUGGAGUACCGGGUCGAGCUUUUCAACCGGCAAAUUUGGGGCUGAGGAAAGAAGACGAGGAGCAACUUCUCUCUGGUCUGGUCGUUGGAACUUCAGGACAAGGUGAAGGUUUUCAAAUGUUGAAGGAGGAGGACAAUAGGAACUUCUGUGAUGUCUUGUCAUCUAUUUUCUUUUCUUUGUUGUAGAAUAGUUCUGUUUGGCACUUACUGGUUGGAUGUAAAGAUAUGUACUGCUAGAAUGAAUGCAUGUAACUAUAUUUUGGGCUCCUAUAAUAUUUCA